AUUUGUGUGGUGUAGUGGUUUUAGCGUUGGACUAUGACUCGGCAGACCAGGGUUCAAAUCCCUCCUCAGCCA
This is a non-coding RNA of Phrynosoma platyrhinos (Desert horned lizard), 72 nucleotides long. NCBI's taxonomy places the organism in Eukaryota, Metazoa, Chordata, Lepidosauria, Squamata, Phrynosomatidae. The record is from the annotation of a GenBank genome assembly.